RNAcentral lists this ribosomal RNA (447 nucleotides) under uncultured bacterium. Its description in RNAcentral is "bacterial SSU rRNA". It matches the Rfam family "Bacterial small subunit ribosomal RNA", at positions 355 to 825 of the family's 1533-position model. The record is from RNAcentral.
UCGGGAAUUUUGGGCAAUGGGCGAAAGCCUGACCCAGCAACGCCGCGUGAAGGAUGAAGUAUUUCGGUAUGUAAACUUCGAAAGAAUAGGAAGAAUAAAUGACGGUACUAUUUAUAAGGUCCGGCUAACUACGUGCCAGCAGCCGCGGUAAUACGUAGGGACCAAGCGUUGUUCGGAUUUACUGGGCGUAAAGGGCGCGUAGGCGGCAUGACAAGUCACUUGUGAAAUCUCUGGGCUUAACCCAGAACGGCCAAGUGAUACUGUCGCGCUAGAGUGCAGAAGGGGCAAUCGGAAUUCUUGGUGUAGCGGUGAAAUGCGUAGAUAUCAAGAGGAACACCUGAGGUGAAGACGGGUUGCUGGGCUGACACUGACGCUGAGGCGCGAAAGCCAGGGGAGCAAACAGGAUUAGAUACCCAAGUAGUCCCUGAGCGGGCUGGCAAGGCGCAU